GUGCCAGCCGCCGCGGUAAUACGGAGGGUGCAAGCGUUAUUCGGAUUUAUUGGGCGUAAAGGGCGUGUAGGCGGUUUGAAUAGUCAGGUGUGAAAGCCCUUGGCUUAACCAAGGAAGUGCACUUGAAACUUUCAGACUUGAGUACGGGAGGGGGAAGUGGAAUUCCUGGUGUAGAGGUGAAAUUCGCAGAUAUCAGGAGGAAUACCGGUGGCGAAGGCGACUUCCUGGACCGAUACUGACGCUGAGACGCGAAAGCGUGGGGAGCAAACAGGAUUAGAAACCCCGGUAGUCC
Molecule: ribosomal RNA, 292 nt
Filed under: uncultured bacterium
Lineage: Bacteria
Description: partial 16S ribosomal RNA
Rfam family: Bacterial small subunit ribosomal RNA
Source: RNAcentral